GAUGAACGCUAGCGGCAGGCUUAACACAUGCAAGUCGAGGGGUAACAGGGGUGCUUGCACUCGCUGACGACCGGCGCACGGGUGAGUAACGCGUAUGCAACCUACCCAUAACUGGGGGAUAGCUUCCGGAAACGGAAAUUAAUACCCCAUAGUAUUAUAAUACCGCAUGGUAUAAUAAUUAAAGUUCCGACGGUUAUGGAUGGGCAUGCGUGCCAUUAGCUUGUUGGUGAGGUAACAGCUCACCAAGGCAACGAUGGCUAGGGGGUCUUAAAGGAUGGUCCCCCACACUGGUACUGAGACACGGACCAGACUCCUACGGGAGGCAGCAGUGAGGAAUAUUGGUCAAUGGGCGCAAGCCUGAACCAGCCAUGCCGCGUGCAGGAAGACGGCCCUAUGGGUUGUAAACUGCUUUUAUAUGGGAAGAAAACGUGAUACGUGUAUUGCAUUGACGGUACCAUAAGAAUAAGCAUCGGCUAACUCCGUGCCAGCAGCCGCGGUAAUACGGAGGAUGCAAGCGUUAUCCGGAUUUAUUAGGUUUAAAGGGUGUGUAGGCGGGACUCUAAGUCAGUGGUGAAAUCUCACAGCUUAACUGUGAAACUGCCAUUGAUACUGGAGUUCUUGAGUAUAGUUGAGGUAGGCGGAAUGUGUAAUGUAGCGGUGAAAUGCUUAGAUAUUACACAGAACACCGAUUGCGAAGGCAGCUUACUAAGCUAUUACUGACGCUGAUGCACGAAAGCGUGGGGAGCGAACAGGAUUAGAUACCCUGGUAGUCCACGCCGUAAACGAUGAUUACUCGUUGUUGGCGAUACAUUGUCAGCGACUGAGCGAAAGCAUUAAGUAAUCCACCUGGGGAGUACGUCGGCAACGAUGAAACUCAAAGGAAUUGACGGGGGCCCGCACAAGCGGAGGAACAUGUGGUUUAAUUCGAUCAUACGCGAGGAACCUUACCUGGGCUUAAAUGUAGAUUGACCCGUAAGAGAUUACGUUUCCCCGGGAGUAAUUGAGACAGGUGGUGCAUGGUUGUCGUCAGCUCGUGUCGUGAGAUGUUGGGUUAAGUCCCGCAACGAGCGCAACCCUUAUUUUUAGUUGCCAUCAGGUUAUGCUGGGCACUCUAGAAAGACUGCCGGUGACAAACCGGAGGAAGGUGGGGAUGACGUCAAAUCAUCAUGCCCCUUAUGUCCUGGGCUACACACGUACUACAAUGGCUAUUACAACGGGAGGCAAGAUCGUAAGGUGGAGCAAAUCCCAAAAAAUAGUCCCAGUUCAGAUUGUGGGCUGAAACCCGCCCACAUGAAGUCGGAAUUGCUAGUAAUGGCAGGUCAGCAUACUGCCGUGAAUACGUUCCCGGGCCUUGUACACACCGCCCGUCACACCAUGAGAGUCUGUAACACCCGAAGUCAGUAGACUAACCGCAAGGAGGUCGCUGCCGAAGGUGGGACCGAUGAUUGGGGUG
This 1453-nucleotide ribosomal RNA is filed under the name uncultured prokaryote. RNAcentral describes it as "partial 16S ribosomal RNA". It matches the Rfam family "Bacterial small subunit ribosomal RNA". The record is from RNAcentral.